UACGAAGGGGGCUAGCGUUGCUCGGAAUCACUGGGCGUAAAGGGUGCGUAGGCGGGUCUUAAGUCAGGGGUGAAAUCCUGGAGCUCAACUCCAGAACUGCCUUCGAUACUGGCGAUCUUGAGUCCGGAAGAGGUGAGUGGAACUCCUAGUGUAGAGGUGGAAUUCGUAGAUAUUAGGAAGAACACCAGUGGCGAAGGCGGCUCACUGGUCCGGUACUGACGCUGAGGUGGCG
This 232-nucleotide ribosomal RNA is filed under the name uncultured bacterium. RNAcentral's name for it is "partial 16S ribosomal RNA". It matches the Rfam family "Bacterial small subunit ribosomal RNA", at positions 524 to 755 of the family's 1533-position model. The record is from RNAcentral.